Molecule: long non-coding RNA, 501 nt
Organism: Sebastes umbrosus (honeycomb rockfish)
Lineage: Eukaryota; Metazoa; Chordata; Actinopteri; Perciformes; Sebastidae
Exons: 2
Source: RefSeq, a predicted model, not a curated record
AGCUACUUUGUGACACAGAGGAAGUUAAUGAUGAUUACCAGUAAGGCUCGGGAGAUUCGUCGACAUAGUCGACGUAAUCGAUUACGUAAAUGUGUCGAUUUAAGCAACGUUCGUCGACGCAUCGGAUGAAGAAUUGAUAGUGGCUGCGCCCUGUCCAAGCAUCGAUUUUGAUUCCCCCAGACAGGAAGAAGCAUCAAAAAAACUCGCCCACGUUCAUCAAAAAAGUGUGGGAAUAUUUCAAACAGAGACCCAACAAUGUGGUGCUCUGUAAGUUGUGCAAAAUGGAGAUGGCGUACCACAGCAGUACAAGUGCAAUGCACGAGCACCUGAAAAGAUGGCAUCCCGGAGCGCUGAGUGAAGAAGACUGCAGCAAGACACCACCGAUGAGACAAAGCCGUGUGGAGGACUUGGAUUACUAAAUGUACAUUGCACUGUAUUCCUUUUACUUGAAUUUAACAAGCUCUUGCUUUCAUUUUAUUUUGGAGAAAUAUUAUGUUGGAC